ACAGUACAAACUGAACAGGCCGGGGAAACCUGGGGCCGGGUCACAGAAGUGACAGUGGAGAAUAAGACGAUAUGUACAUCCACGGGACAGU
Molecule: non-coding RNA, 91 nt
Filed under: uncultured Lachnoclostridium sp.
Lineage: Bacteria; Bacillati; Bacillota; Clostridia; Lachnospirales; Lachnospiraceae
Description: NiCo riboswitch
Rfam family: NiCo (Nickel/Cobalt) riboswitch aptamer
Source: RNAcentral